Cyprinus carpio (common carp) is the source of this 1770-nucleotide long non-coding RNA. RefSeq lists it as uncharacterized. The record is from RefSeq and is a predicted model, not a curated record. NCBI's taxonomy places the organism in Eukaryota, Metazoa, Chordata, Actinopteri, Cypriniformes, Cyprinidae.
UGUUCCCUUUAAGUGAAGAUAAGAAGUGUAACACUGAUAUCUGCAAUUCUGCCCAAAUGGCUGAUUAAAUGUUAACUAAAUAUUUCUUUAGAUAUAUAAUUAUGGGCUGGAAUGAGUGCAAGUCACAGAAUGACAGCUUCGAAGAUAAGAUCACAAAAGUGAGUGAUAAAGCCAUAGUGCUUGAAAAAAGAUCAUAUACUGUGGGCUAGUGUUUUUGGCACGCUGCUGCUUCGUCGCCAAAUCAAGAAGGUGUUAUCUGCUGUCUGCCCUCAGCAGGAGUGGUUCCUGAUCGACAGAUGGCGCUGUAUGCCUAUGCAGCAUUAAACCCUGAAAGGUUCGGCGGGACACUACACACAGACGGCUUAAGAAAUAGAUGGGCAGACAGUCGAAAACAAUAUUCAUACAAACAAGAUCAAGUAAUGUAAUGCAUUUGACCAAUUUACAAAUGUUUGUAUUAGUAUGGGAAGUUAGUUAUAAUUAACAGCCUAAGCAGCCUUUCAAGAAAUUAAAAAAAGAGUUUAGUCGUGUUAGACGCCAUAUUUAAUUUUUCGUGAUUGAUAACGAGGCCGUGGGGGAAACAUACACUGUGUGUUCGUCUAUCUGCUGGAGUUGCACAUGUUUUCUAGGUAAUGUGUACUCGGAAAAUAGUAUGCAAAUGAAGAAUCGCAGCUUUGGCAGUGGAGAAAGGUAAUCCGGACGGAUGGUCUCCAUGAAUCACCGCCACAUUAAGAGUUUCAGCCCUCUCAUUAUCCUGCACCACAUUCCCCCCAGGGGGCCGGUACUGUGCCUGAGCCUCACCACAUACAGCCGCUCAUUACCAAUCUGCCAACCGAGGCCUGGCUUGGCCAGAGUUCCUUGCCUUGCACAGGUAAGGGGCCUGGUUCCUUUCUCCACCUCCAUACAACAUCCACAGACUCAAGGGUGAACAGAAACAGCAUGCCUUUCAAAGAGGCGCUGCAGGUGUCACCAUCCCAGAAUCCACCAGCAGAACCCCUCCCCUCAUAUUUCCUGUCAAGAAACACAGAGGCUGAUGGGAGAGCAUGGAAUAAUGGUGCGCUCACAGAGGGGAUUCUCCACAGGUGCAGGACCACGAGGUCACAGAAUGUGUAGCAAGUGACCACCAAUUGAUGCCCCUCCCAAACAAGCAGAGAGCAACAGGGAUCUGACCCAUGGGCUUUGUCCCUGCUCCAUGUCAUUGUGGGAAAGAAAGAUGAUGAUAUUGAAUGACUACAAGGAGGAAACCACAUAUUUGCAGCCCAAGCAAACAAGCAUCACACUAAAGCAAAAGGUGAAAGCGUAAGAACCUAUUUAAAGAAAUAAACAAACACUGUUCUACUGCGAUUCAGUGUCAGAGAUAUUUACUCCCACAAAUGUGAAGAAUGAUUUAAUUUCAAAUGUUAGCUUUUCAGUUAAUGUGCUUUAAUUUUACUGCACUGGUUUCUCUCUUCCAUUUUCUGUACAGUCUAUAUAUUAAUUCAUAAAUCCUCUUAAUCUCACUCACUCAUUUGCACAUUCGCUCAGGCAUGCGUUCACACAGUCAAGUUGAGGCACUUAGACACGUUGUGUUCAGAUUCCUCGUGUCAAAACUGCCAACGCUCAGCUGAUUUGUGUCUUCUGAAUUAUUUCUAUAUUAAAUGGGUCUAUUUUAUUUUUACUACAACACAUAUCUAAAGAGACAAAACAUAAGCGUUUCCUACUGCAUUUCAAGCAAAAAUAGUCCCUCCCUGUGGCUCGACAGGUACUAUGUUGUUGCACAUGUUCAUUUGGACA